Molecule: ribosomal RNA, 440 nt
Filed under: uncultured bacterium
Lineage: Bacteria
Description: partial 16S ribosomal RNA
Rfam family: Bacterial small subunit ribosomal RNA
Source: RNAcentral
CCUACGGGAGGCAGCAGUAGGGAAUAUUGCUCAAUGGGGGAAACCCUGAAGCAGCAACGCCGCGUGGAGGAUGAAGGUUUUCGGAUUGUAAACUCCUUUUGUUAGAGAAGAUGAUGACGGUAUCUAACGAAUAAGCACCGGCUAACUCCGUGCCAGCAGCCGCGGUAAUACGGAGGGUGCAAGCGUUACUCGGAAUCACUGGGCGUAAAGAGCGCGUAGGCGGGAUAGCAAGUCAGAUGUGAAAUCCUAUGGCUUAACCAUAGAACUGCAUUUGAAACUGUUAUUCUAGAGUAUGGGAGAGGUAGGUGGAAUUCUUGGUGUAGGGGUAAAAUGCGUAGAGAUCAAGAGGAACACUCAUUGCGAAGGCGACCUGCUAGAACAUAACUGACGCUGAGGCGCGAAAGCGUGGGGAGCAAACAGGAUUAGAUACCCCUGUAGUC